Molecule: unclassified non-coding RNA, 400 nt
Filed under: uncultured Gaiellales bacterium
Lineage: Bacteria; Bacillati; Actinomycetota; Thermoleophilia; Gaiellales
Description: contains 16S-23S intergenic spacer region
Source: RNAcentral
CCGUCAAUUCCUUUAAGUUUCAGUCUUGCGACCGUACUCCCCAGGCGGAAUGCUUAAAGCGUUAGCGACGGCACCCGGGGACUAUAAAACCCCAGACACCAAGCAUUCAUCGUUUAAGGCUAGGACUACCGGGGUAUCUAAUCCUGUUCGCUCCCCACGCUUUCGCGUCUCAGCGUCAGUACCGUCCCAGAGAACCGCCUUCGCCACGGGUGUUCUUCCCGAUAUCUGCGCAUUUCACCGCUACACCGGGAAUUCCAUUCUCCUCUUCCGGACUCUAGCCAGAUGGUUUCAGCCGACAUCUCGAGGUUGAGCCUCGAGUUUUCACAGCUGACCUAUCUGGCCGCCUACACGCUCUUUACGCCCAAUAAAUCCGGACAACGCUUGCCCCCUACGUAUUACC